Molecule: ribosomal RNA, 729 nt
Filed under: uncultured eukaryote
Lineage: Eukaryota
Description: SSU rRNA
Rfam family: Eukaryotic small subunit ribosomal RNA
Source: RNAcentral
CGCGUGCACUGGUUCGGCCGGGCCUUUCCCUCUGGGGAGCCGCAUGCCCUUUACUGGGUGUGUCGGGGAACCAGGACUUUUACUUUGAACAAAUUAGAUCGCUUAAAGAAGGCCUAUGCUCGAAUACAUUAGCAUGGAAUAAUAGAAUAGGACGCGUGGUUCUAUUUUGUUGGUUUCUAGGACCGCCGUAAUGAUUAAUAGGGACAGUCGGGGGCAUCAGUAUUCAAUUGUCAGAGGUGAAAUUCUUGGAUUUAUUGAAGACUAACUACUGCGAAAGCAUUUGCCAAGGAUGUUUUCAUUAAUCAGGAACGAAAGUUAGGGGAUCGAAGACGAUCAGAUACCGUCGUAGUCUUAACCAUAAACUAUGCCGACUAGGGAUCGGACGAUGUUAUAUUUUGACUCGUUCGGCACCUUACACGAAAGUAAAGUUUCUGGGUUCUGGGGGGAGUAUGGUCGCAAGGCUGAAACUUAAAGAAAUUGACGGAAGGGCACCACCAGGGGUGGAGCCUGCGGCUUAAUUUGACUCAACACGGGGAAACUCACCAGGUCCAGACACAAGUAGGAUUGACAGAUUGAGAGCUCUUUCUUGAUUUUGUGGGUGGUGGUGCAUGGCCGUUCUUAGUUGGUGGAGUGAUUUGUCUGCUUAAUUGCGAUAACGAACGAGACCUUAACCUGCUAAAUAGCCCGCAUUGCUUUGGCAGUGCGCCGGCUUCUUAGAGGGACUAUCGG